GAUGAAGAACGUAGCGAAAUGCGAUACUUGGUGUGAAUUGCAGAAUCCCGUGAACCAUCGAGUCUUUGAACGCAAGUUGCGCCCGAAGCCAUCAGGUUGAGGGCACGUCUGCCUGGGCGUCACAUAUCGUUGCUCGAUGCCUAUCGCAUUGCGAUAGGACUUAGGGCGAAUGAUGGCUUCCCGUGAGCGUUGUUGCCUCGCGGUUGGUUGAAAAUCGAGUCCUUGGUAGGGUGUGCCAUGAUGGAUGGUGGUUGAGUGAUGAUGCUCGAGACCAAUCAUGGGUAACUCCACCAGAAUUGGGCUCGGUGACCCACAUGCGUCCCUUGGAUGCUCCCUAAGGAGACCUCAGGUCAGGCGGGGCUACCCGCUGAGUUUAAGCAUAUCAAUAAGCGGAAGA
Molecule: unclassified non-coding RNA, 397 nt
Filed under: soil metagenome
Description: partial contains 5.8S ribosomal RNA, internal transcribed spacer 2, and large subunit ribosomal RNA
Rfam family: 5.8S ribosomal RNA (bases 1-122)
Source: RNAcentral